Molecule: long non-coding RNA, 14836 nt
Organism: Chelonia mydas (Green sea turtle)
Lineage: Eukaryota; Metazoa; Chordata; Testudines; Cheloniidae
Exons: 5
Source: RefSeq, a predicted model, not a curated record
ACACAUAGGGGGGCAGCCACAGGCUCACCCGUCCCCCAUCAGGCCACCCCAAGCAAAAAAAAAAAAAAAAAGCCGAAGUGCCGCUGAAUCAAAAUAUUGGGACAAAUGGCAUCCCAACCUUACAUCAGUCGGGAUGCAGGACAAACAAAUAUCGGGACAGUCCCGAUUUUAUUGGGACGUCUGGUCACCCUAUUCCCGAGAUGUUCAUGACUGAGGUUCUGCUGUAGAUUGCUUUGUUACAUGUAAGCUGAGUGAGUGAGGUGUCUUCCAGGAACAUUCUGCUGGAAGAACCUAUUUCUGAGUUUACACUGUUGUAAAUCUGGAGUAACUCAAUUGAGUUAAAUGGAGUUACUCUGGAUUUACACUAUUCUGUCUUCGAUAUGCUAUUUGUGCCCAUACUACUUUUGCCUAACAUUGUGAAUCUGAGUUCUGAUUUGUGAACUCUUGCACUGAAAAUAUGCAAAAUCUAGAAUAGAUGAAUUUGCUUACAAUAAAGUAAUAAAAUUUCCAGCUACUUUUUUACCUUUUGUUGUUGUUUUGGCAGCUGAGAAGGGUUUAUGUGCUGUGGUGGCCUGAACAUUUGCUUCAUUAAUUAUCCUGAGGGUGGUGGAUGUUUUCGCUACAUCACACCUGAGCAUGGCCCUUUCAAAGGAAAGCUCAGAAAGGGAGGAUAUAGGGAAGAUUAGGUUAGAAGACAGUAGGGUUAUCCUCACUCCUAUUUCCCCACCCCCGCCCCACUCCACUUCCUCAAAGAGACACAUUAAGAGUGAUUUCUCCCACCUAUUUGAUAGGUUGUAUAGACCCUUUGGCACCCCUCAUGCCUGUGAUCCACCCUGUUUAAGGAAAUAACAGCAAUCUAGAGAACUGGAGAGGUGAGCUCCAGCAGAUGGCUCCCUGAAUGGAUGAGUGGAAAGAAGAGGACACCUGCAUUCCUCAGAAACCUAAUUCACUGAAGCAGCUGCACUUCAUUACUAAUUAGGUCGCCUAUAGCAAGGGCAGCCUUACAGAAGAAGCUGCUCAGACAUUUCCUGCGAAUCAAGCUCCAUACUGUCCUGGGUUUUUUCUUUUUAACAUACUUUGUUUUGAGUAGCCUCCCUAAAUACCCUUUUAGCCCCUGAGUCAGAAUUGGCUUGUUUUGCUGAUCUCCCCACACCCAGAUCAGACCUACUUAUGGAGGAAGCUUUCGCUGCAGAGCGGCAAGACUGGAACUAUGCUCAUCCUAUGCCUGGGAGCAACUGUAGCUCACUUCCAUGAAGUCAGGUGAGAUAACUGAUUAUUGCUAAGAUUUGCCUGCUCUGGGUGGGUCCUUUCUGAUUAGAAGGCCAGAACAUUCUCCCUUCUGACAAAUCAUCUUGAGCCAUAUGUGAGCUCAGGAUGGAGGAGCGGGACUGAAGCUUUCCUGGAAAUGCCCACAAGGAGUAAAAUCAAGGUCUUUUCUACCCUGUUUUUCCUGGAAGACAUCAUGGACAUUUGGAGAACCAGUAGAAUAAUGACAUCACAGGUCAAUGAGGUAUUUUCAUUGAGCAGUCCAAAAAUAAAACCGGGGGGGAAGGCCUAAGUCUAGAGAACGAUCCCAGAAAAGCUGCAAAGUAAAGGCAGCAGCACAGAUGAAAUUCCCGAAAGAAUGGAUCCAGUUAAUCACUUUUUAUUUUUUAAAAAGUUCAUAUAUAAAAUGUAGACAGUAAAUAGUCCACUGUAGAGAAGGUUAUUAUCCUACAUUAAAAAAAAUGAACUUUACAUCUUCAUAGUGUCCUUAAAAAGGAUAUUGAUUGAUUUGAUUUUUAGUCUCCACUGUUUCGCAAUAUCCUCUUAAAUAAUAAAAAUAUUUUCUGUACCCAUCAGUUUUGUUUUGUUUUAUAUUAGGCAAAUAUAGAUAUUUUCCUUCUAUCCCCCCCGCCCCCCAGGUGGAUUUCACCCUUUGGAAUAAAGAAUAUGUCCCUCUUUAAGAAGCACCUACAUUUAUUUAAAAAACAAACAAAAACCAAUUAUCAUGGCGGGUUCAGGUAGUUUAACACUUCCCAUUGUAACACUGUUUUCAGUUCCUUAUAACUUUGCCAAAUUUUAAUUGUUCAGGCUGAAAUUUCCCAGGCUACAUGUCUGCCUCAGCCUGAGCCUUUUGGGAAAGUUCCAUCAAAAAUAGUUGAACCCUUCCCCAGAAUGAGAUUAGGGAAAAACAUUCUUUUGCCCAUUUUUCCAGUGUCCUUACUAUGUAUCCUCUCUGUCCACAGCCUUCCCCAACAGCUCUAGCCAGAGGCCUCCAUAAUACAAUGGGCAUGGUAUUGCUCCUCUAUUCUCCCCCUCAACGCACGCACACACCCAAGGCAGAUUUCACACUUUGGAGUGGUACUCCCCCUUUUAAGAAGCACCUUAUAUUUACUUAAAAAAUAAACAAAAAACAGGAAAUAUAUGAGUAGAGUGAAAAACAUUGUUUUUGUUGCUUGCGAAAGUAGUGGCUUCCCCUCCAGUAAGAGUGGGAGAUUUAUUUUUAAAGAUGGAGUACCAAUAUGUAAUCUAUGCAGCUAUUUAAUAGAAACAAUUUAGAUUGAUCUGCAGAAGCCAUCGGUUAGGGCCUUCUCGUACAAUUUUAGAAAGAGCUCUACAUUGAGAUUUAUACCUCAUAUGUAGUUUAUAAUAACCAAAGAAUAAAUUCCUUUGUAUCUACAACCAUAGAAUAAACUGUGUUUAGUGCUUUUGGCUUCCUCAAUUUCCUUCUAAUCCAUCUCCAGUGGGACUACUGCAAAUGUUCCAAUCCUCUCAGCAGCUUUCUAUUAGCUGCUGUUAAAAGUAAGAAUAGAAACAUAAGUGUUUUCUCAAUCUUCUUCCCAAGUAUGGAUCAGGUGAAAACCAAAAGUCAGAUUCUUCUCUAUACCUGUUCUACUCCACUGUAUCUCCACUAACUUUAAUGGAGUUACUCCUCGUUUAUAGCAGUGUAAGAAGAGGAUCAGGGACUGCAAAUUACCCUGAUCCAAGACUGGCAAUAGUCAGUCUUGGAUGAGGAAGUUACUCACCUUAUGCAGUAAUGAUGGUUCUUUGAGUGUCCUGAUGGGUGCUCUGCUGUAGAUGUGUCUGCAUCCCUGCGCUGCUGAUCAGAGAACUUGGGUAGCAGUGUCCAUUCAGCCUGAGCAUGUGCCACCCCAUCAUGCUCUGCCAUGAGGCUAGCCAGUGCUGCGUGUGUGAACCCUCCUCAGUUCCUUCCAUACUGCAGAGUCAUUGACAAGAACUCCAAAGCAGAGGGGAGGAGGGUGGGUCAUGGGGCACCCUUAGGAGGACACAUCUUGAAGAACCAUUGUUACUGUACAAGGUGAGUAAUUUCCUCUUCUUGAGUAGUGUCCCUAUGGGUGCUCCACUAUAGGUGACUCCCAAGCAGUACGCCGCACUGGAGGCUGGGGCUUCUGAGUUGAGUCUAUUAUAGAUAAUAGCACCAUGGCACCAAAUCUGGCGUUUGCAGCAGAGUCCCCCAGGAUGGCAUUGUGCUCUGUAAAGGUAUGUGCAGAUGCCCAGGUAGCUGCUCUGCAGAUUUCUGAUCUAGGGAUACCCUUGGAGAAGGCAAUGGAUGAAGAGACCAAUCUCACAGAGUGUGAAAGUAUCGAAGAUGGGGGUGUUACACUGCAAAUCUGGUAACAGAGUUUGAUACAGUUCAAGACCCAUUUGGAGAGUUCUUGAGUUGAAAUCAUUGUGCCUAUCUGCAAUGGAGAGGAAGAGUCUCUGAGAUUUUCUAAAAACUCUUGUCAUGUCCAAAUAGAAGGUCAAGGCUCUCCUCAUGUCAAGCAUAUGGAGGAUGGUUUUCCUAAUAUCCUGAUGAGGUUUGGGAUAAAAGGUUGGAAGGUGAAUGAGUUGGUUCAUGUGAAGUGCGGAAGUCAUCUUGGGAAUGAACUUCGGAUGUGGUCUAAGCAUGACUUUGUCAGGGAAGAAAACUGUAAAGGGGGUGUACGCCAUCCGAGCCCCUAUUUCCCUUAUCUUUCUUGUCAAGGUGAUGGCAAUCAGGAACACUGUCUUCAUGGAGAUGUGAGUUAAAGGACAAGUGGCCAUGGGUUCAAACGGCGGUCUGGUCAGUCCUUUUAGUACUAGGUUGAGAUCCCAUUGUGGGGCAGGAAGCCUGGGUUGAGGAAAGAGGUUCGCUAUGCCUUUGAGAAACCUCUUAGUAGUCGUGUCGGAGAAAACUGAGUACCUUACUACCUGUAAAUAGAGUCAUCAGUGGACAUAGCACUAGUUGUGACAGGUAAGGAUACCAUGUCUGGGCCAGCCAGGAGCAGUCAGUAUGAUGUUUGCUUUUUAUUUUCAAGAGGACUUUCACAGGGAAUGGGGGAAAGGUGUAAAGAAGGCCCUUGUCUCAUAAGAGGAGGGAAAAGUCGCCCAGGGAGUGUUGUCCAAUCCCCACUCUGAAGCAGUAUUGUGGACAUUUCUUGUUUUGGUAAGUGGCGCACAGGUCUAUUGUCUGUGUCUCCCAUUGCCCCCAUUCAUGGGCAUGUGGAAAUUUGUGACUGAGACUGUCUGCUGUCGUGUUGUGCACUCCCAGUAGGUAGGCUGCUGAUAAUCUGACAUUGUGGGAAAUGCACCAGUUCCAUAGCUUUUGUGCUUCCAUGCACAGGGAGGGUCAUCUAGCCCCUCCUUGUUCGUUUAUAUAAUACAUGCAGGCCAUAUUGUCCAUCAUGACUUCUGUGUGCAUGCCUCUGAUCAGCGGGAUGAAGUGAGAACACGUAUUCCCUGACCACUCCGAGUUUGAGCAGGUUGAUGUGAAGGCAUGUCUCAGAUGGAGACCAUUUGCCCUGCACUGUGCGAUUGCUGAGAUGUGAGCCAAAACCUAUGAGGGAUGCAUCAGUAGUCAGGGGCAGGCUGAACAAACAGGAUUCCUGUGCAGACAUUUAUUGGGUCUUUCCACCAAUACAGGAUUAUUUGAUUUUGGUGGGCAUCAGUAGUAGCUUGUUUAUGUUCUCUGUUCCAUCUGUAAACUGAACCACGCUUGGAGGCAUCUCAUGCUCAGUCUGGCAUGAGCUAUAACCGAUGUGCCCGUGGCCAGAUGCCCCAGAAGCUGGAGGCAGUGUCUAGCUGAAAUUUGGGGUUCUCAUCCUCCAGAUGACCCCUCUGGAUGUCGCUAUGAUCGCAUUACAUAUGAUGGAAUAUCUGGUUUUUGCGUUGCUUUUUUAUAAACCUAGGGAACUCAUCCCUAGAGCACAGUCCAUCAUAUGUACCGAAUGAGACUUCAGUCCUAUGGAAACAAUAGUAUCAUAAUGUAUAUGCACAAGGACGCUGAAGUAAGAUUGUACAGGCAUGUAGUUAGCUCACGAAAGCUUAUACUCAAAUAAAUUUGUUAGUCUCUAAGGAGCCACAAGUACUCCUUUUCUUUUUGCGAAUACAGACUAACACGGCUGCUACUCUGAAACCUGUUUAAAGAUAUAGUAUGCAAGAUCAGGACUAUAAAAUAUACAUUGGUGUGUGGCAACCUAAUGGUUUUAUAGGCAUGAAUUUGGAGUGACUUCAUUACUUGUGUCACCCAAUCAAAUUACCUGAAAUCCAAAAAAUAUAUAUCUUACCUGCUUCACUUUCCAAAUGGACAGAAGUUUCCUCAUCCAACAAAUUUAACCUGAUUCAAAAACCAAAGAGAAUUUGUCAGAUUGAGGACUAAGAUGCAAGAUGUGUUGAAAUGUCAGUGGCUCAACACUAAAGAGAGAAUUAAGGCCUACUUUUCCUCUUGCUAAUGUUGCUUUUACAUUUAUGAUUUCAGUGAGGUAGUUCUGGCUUUACACUGGUAUAAGUGAGAGGAAAAUCUGGCUCCUUGUCUCAAAAUGUAUAUGGCUAAAGCCAAAUCUUGAAAAGACUGAACUCCCUUAAUUCCCAAUAAGUGUUCAGCACUUCUAUAAACUACACCAUUUAUUAAGUGUCUAACUAUUGAUUUAGAAGCCUAACAUCAGGCAGUCAUUUUCAGACCAUCCUGGCCUGUGUUCAUUUUGUAUUUUUCCUUUUUAAAUUAAAUUCUCUGUUCUUGGUGAACUUAAGGUAAUGGAAACUGAUCAAGACAAUGAAGUGAGAAAAUGGUAUUGACAGAUAUAUAGAGAGUAACUCAUAUGAGCUAAUAUCUAUUUACUAUAUCUGUUUUGUUUUUAUUAAGAUGGCAAUAGGUUCUAAAACAUGUUACACAUUGACACAUUUCUUAUAAACAAUUGUGUAACUUUGGCAAAGUUGUGUAACAUUUUUUGUUUAACAUAUAUAAAUUAAUAAACAAGUUAUCAUAAAAGAAGGUCUAAUCUUGCUAAGAACACUGACUACAAACAAUUAUUUUAACCUAACAAGGUGAGAUGUUGUUUUUGGUGGAGGGCGAAAAAAACAGAAAUAAAAAUAUCAAGAAAAUGCCAAAGUGGAAAAAGAAUGAAAAGGGUUAUAAAAUGCAAGCUGGAGAAGAAAGUAAGUGUAUAUGUUAUUAUUUAUGAAUACUAGGAAGCAGAGACCCUCUUCCUAAUGCCCACACCAAACAUGUUCAACAUGUGUUUUUAAUCCUCUACAAUUUCACAUCAUUUUUCUUCCUGCUUACUUAUCAAGGUUUGCACUGAUGGUUUCUUUCUCUAUCUUCUCUUUAUGUUCUUCAGUGGGAUUGUUUAGGGAAGGCUCCUGUGGUUGCUGAGAAGUGGAAAAAAUACAUUUUAAGAGAGGGAACUGAUGAUAUCUACAAAUUCACCUCUCCAAUCUAAUGAUUUGAACACAGUAAUCUGUGUAGCAGUAACUUUUCUCUCAAUUACCUGAUUGUAACAACCAUUUUUUGUAAUUAAGAAAUUCUGGUUAUACUUUAUGAUACUGUGACUGUAGUUACACUGUAAUAUCACAGAUGCACUAAAAUUUUGGUAAUACUUUAUAUAAAGAUUGAUUAAUAGAUAUUUUAGGCAUGUUCUAGACAUGAGUAGUAGGUGUUAUAGAUGGUUAUGAGCACAUCAUUAGACGGAGUUAUAAGUCAUGGAUAGUAAUAAGCGAUCUGUUGGGCUCUAUAAUACUCUAAUAAUUAACCAUUUAUUAAAAUAUCACUUAUUUAUUAACCCCUUAUAUAUUCCAUUUUUAUAAAUGGAACCUUAAUAUAAAGUGUGACCACAGGGUUUUUUGUUUUUGCUUUGUUUUUUAAAUAAAAAUCAGAUAAAUUAACAACUUAUUUAUCCAUUUGACAAACUUGCAAAAUGAGCAUGGGGAAUGGACUUAUUUGUGCCAGACUUGUCAGUAGUUUAAUUCUAGACAUAUAUAUUUCAAUGAUUAUUUGAAUCUGAAAUUUACUUCUCCAAAAAAAACAUAUUUUCUUUUCAAGAACCUUGUAUCUUACAGAAAUAACAUGAAAACUUCACCUCAGGUGCAACACAGUGAUAUGGGUGGACACCUAUGAACUCCUCAUGGAUUUUGGACAUCAGUCCUGCUGUCUUCUUGCAGAAGUGCAAAAGGGUUAUCUGAGAAGGAAAAAGUCAAAGGAGAUAUUACACAGGCUUACCUCUGACAGCUAUUUCUAUCAUUAUUUUCCUGUCUCCUUUGACAUAAGCAAUUUCUAAACAAAUUGAGAGUUCUUCCCAAUCCUGAAUCUCCCAUUUCAGUAAGAAUCUCAUGUAAGGGAUGUUUCAAGAUGGAAACGUGUAACUCUAUACUCCCAGCCAUCUGUUCAUAGGACUUUGUAUGUUCCACAGAGGGAAGAAUUGCUGCUGAAACUACAGGCUUUUCUUCCAGAUAUUGCUGUGGAGAGGACAGGACAUAGAGAAAAUAGAAAAGUUCACUAGGGUGAAGGAGCACAGAAUCUUCUGUUGAGAGAAAGAUUGGAAAGGAGGAUUUCUCUCUGUCCACGAUAUCUUUUGGAAUAAUUUUGCAAAACCCCUUGUGCCAUUUUUUUAAUUUAAACAAGGAUGAAAAUAUAUAUUAAUAUGGACACUAUCCUCUUAGCAAGAAGCCCAAAAAUGUGCAAGAUUCUCCAUUUUGAGGGUUCCUGCCAGAAGCAUGCUUGCUUGUGAAACGCUCAAGUGCCAGCACAUUUGCAGAGAGCAGUAACCUAGGGCUGGACAGGAGGGACUCAAGACUCACUGAUUUUUCAGCCUGUGGAGUUAGAGUGUAGCAGUGAAAAGGAUUGAUAUGGGAUGGGGGAAGAUUUAUCCAAACCAGGAAAAAAUUGUUUGGGUUCAGUUUAUUUCAAGCAUCAGGUUCAUUCUUAUAACUUGAACUGGUUCUCUUAUCCAGGGGCCACUGUAAUCCAUCCAGAAGGCUUUCAGAGCUGCUCCCAUGACGAAUGAUGAGCAAAGCCUUUUGGGUUCACUUCAGGUAGGAAGGCAGGAUGGAGAAUUAGGGUUGGGAGUUCUGAGAGAAUCAGCAGCACUGCAGGUGACAGAAAAUAAACACAGCUGAGCAACAGAAUCUAGGCAGUACUUCUGCUCAGUUAGGCUUUGCAUGGAAGCGCAAGCUCUUUGGUUAGAGGCUCUGUUUUGAUAGCUGAAUCUGUGGAGACUGUUACAGUAACUUUAGGGACGAAGUGAGAAAAUGCCUAUACAACAUCAAUGGCAACAUUUGCCUUGAAAAAAAGUCCUGUUAAUUAGAACUAAGACUCCCAUCUUUAUAUAGCAUAUAUCUGUUUCCACCUAAAUGCAUUUCUUCAAUACAUAUUUCUAGUUUCCAUUCCCUUCUCUCCUAUUUUCAGCUCAUUAAGGAGUUCUCUCCAGAUGUUGCUAAAAUUCAAAAAGCACUGAAAUGAGGACAAUGGACACUGGUAGGCUGGAUGGAUCACAAACUUGUUGAGCUUGAUCCACCACAGCAUUGCUUCAGCUUCAUGUUGAGGUAACUGCAUGCAUUUACUCUCUAAAACUGGAAUACAACAAAGCCUCUUAUAAAAUAGAAAUUCUUCCAAGAAAUCCCAAAGGAAGGUGCUAAAACCUUGUCUGUCCAAGUCUGCUAUGUAUUUCAAAACAUAAUCACAGUAUUUAUAAAUUAAUCAGUGUGUGUAUUCAAAUGCUUCCUUCACAAUGGACAUAUUGGCCAUCAACUACAUCCUGUAAAUAUCAGAAGAGAAGUUGCUAUCACCAGUACAUUGCUGCUUAUAAGAUCUUGUUCACUUUUGUGCUCUGGUUUAACAACUUCAUUCUCCCACAUUAUAUCAAAAAGUUAUUUUCCCUUCAAAUGUCCAGUGUAAGGCAUUCUGCAAAUCUAACAUGGAUACCUGAUAGAUAGCAAGGUAAUGAGACAACAUAUUGCAGCGACUAGCUCCAAGUAGAUCCACCUUCUGACAGACAUCCAUUUUCAACUUGUCAAAUUGGGCUUUGGUAUUUUUCACUUGUGUCUGCACCUAGAACCAUGAAAGUUGAAAUACAUAAUAGCAAAAGGAGGUCAUAGGUAUGUGUGUGUGUUGCAGAAAAGAACUCCUGAAAAUGUUUCACAGUCCUAGUAUGUACAGCAGUCUUGUCCUGGAGCAUCUGUAGGAGUAAUUUGUAGGCCCCAUUGUAUAGGUAUUGCACAUGCACACAUACUGUAGAGAUUGUCCCUGCCCUAAAGAAUUUAUAAUCAAAUGUCAAAAACCCUAUAAAUUAGCUGCUAAUUAUGGUCUUGUCACUUCCAAAAGGAAAAAAUAUCCUGUUUAUAUGCAAGAAAGUAAUGUUAAAGUUGACAUAACAUUCAGAUAAACACUCAGGAAAUUCAGAAUUACAGUGCCCACAGCACCUUUAAUUGCCCUCUUGCAGGAAUACACUACAAUCUGGUCUUGUGACUGCACACAGGGGCAAUAUCUGGUUUGCAGUAAGUAAGGAGUCUGACUUCCCUUCACCCCUCUCUUUGGUCAAGUGCUAAAAGAAUAGUUGCAGGGAGGCUAGAAUGAGGAAGGCAAGGUGCUACACCUGAGUUGGGAAAUUUUUAUGAUAUAUAUUUUUUGUUUAUGGUAAUGUGCUCUGAUUUUUGCUGAUAAGCACCUUCUUCUGCUUCAAUAAUCAAAUGAUUUUUUUUUUUAAUUUUAUCUUUUCUGACUUACCUCAGCGGGUUACAUGUAGUGUCAGGGAUUUUAAAGCAAGAAGGAGAAUAUGUGUACGCUAACAAUGUGGAGCAAAAGAACCGGAUGAAGUGGUAAGAGGAACAGCAGCAGAAAUAACAAGAGAAGCAACAUCAGCUCCAGUAAUGUAUACAGCUGCAGUAACAAAACCACCACCAACAGGAAUUGGUGGAGAUGAUGAGGCAAGCUUUACUUGUCAAGGGAGGUGAUCUGUCUUCUGUUACCCUUACAGGAGGAGGGUUCUUAACCAAAAUGGGACCUCUGUAUUAUAAUGAAGAUCAUACAGUACUCUGUUUUGUUCAGCAAUACAAAAUGUUAUUUAAAUUACUGACAAUUAUAACAAGUACAGUUUUUUCAAUUACUGUAUUUUAUAAUCAGUGAGUCACAUUGCCUUGUGUUGUGUGACCACAUGAUUUACUGUAAUCAAAUACUCAAGACAUGUCUCUACUAAGAAAACUUAAAAAAUCCUCCUGGUGCAUCCUAGUAUAAAAGACAAGGCUGUGGUGGCCAGACACACCCAGCGUGAGCUCUGUGCCUGGAGUCCAGGCAGUUCCUGGGAGCCUCGGUGAGCUGCUAGGCUCCCCACAGCUGAAAUGGUACUGUACUUGAUUUGUCUUUCUCUACACUUGGAACUAAACCAUGUUCAACUGCACACAUUGCUGGCAACAAGAAGGAAAUAAAUACUUUUCUGAACUUCUCCAUUUGCUUGCAGGUGUCAGGAUCCAGUUCUUGGGACACAUCCUUCAUCCACAGCAAGGCCCCUCUGUAUUCUAUGCGGGCCUGCUCCAUACGAUCAAUUGUUAACAAGGUAUCAGACACAGCCCUGUGACUGAAUGUUGCCAAUUCCUGCCCAAGGCGAGACAAGGGGGUACAAAGGGCUACCCUGGAGGACUCCUGCUUGAUUCACUGCAUAGGAUGAACUUGCUCUAGGGAUGGAUCAGGAUUGUGUAGUGAAGGAGGCUGUUGUCUGUACAACCCCUGCUUCAUUUGCUACAGGAGUUGGAAAAUGUGUAGUGAAUGAGGAAGGGGAUUUCAGGAAGAAAUGAAUGGUUCCGUGAUUAAGGCAGUUGAAUGCUGCCUGGCAGAAUUGGAUUCUAUCUCUGCCUCCGCCAGUGUUUGUACGUGAUGUUAGGCAAGUAAGUUAAACCAAUUUUUUCAUAGGUGGUCACCAAUUGUGUGUUGCUGGGUAUGAAAUGCACAAGUGCUAAGCAUUCACAGCUGCAGCUGAAGUCAAUGGGAAAUGUGCUUUGGUCAUAGAAAGUGCUGUAUAGUGCUAUGUACUCUGAAAAAUUAGGUGUCACAAAUCAGCCACCUAAAAUUAGUGGAUACUUUUGACCUUAAUCUCUCUGUGCCUCAGUUCCUCAUCUGUAAAAUGAGUACAGUAUCCAUUCAUCUCACAGGGGUCUUGUGAAAGCAAAUUGAUAUUUGUGAAGCACUCAGAUACUAUAAUAAUGAGUACCAUAGAAAAGCCCAUGAAGAAAUUAAUAAUUCUGACUUCAAAGCAGAGUUUGAAUAGCGUGGAAUAAGGAAGGCCUGGGGCCACACAUUGAACAAUGAGGAUAAAACAAAAUUUUGAAUCGCUGCUCACUGAGUGAGAACCAUUCAUUCUCUGCACUGGAUGAAGCAGGGAAAUAAGAGAUGUUAUGUACUUAAAGACUGUAUCAUAAUGCCUACGUGCAAGGGGACCAAAUUAAGGAUGUACAGGCAACCUUAAUUCUGGCAUUUCUUAACUUUUGAGCGGUUGAUUUUGCAACCAUGAUAAUGUUUUUUUAUGUAGUCUUUUUGUGUUUAAUGUAUACAAACACACACAUUACAGUUCUCACCUCAGCAGGAGGCAAUAGAAACAACAUUUGGUACAGAGGUAAUACCUAAUGGGACUUUUUCAUGCUUUUUGGUGGUCCAAUAAAAAUAUUUUGACAAGCUCUAAGGUUUUAAAAAUCUAUCAUGAAGAUACUGUAAUUUUAAAAAUUAUAGUAGGAGAUGGUUAUCAUUAAUAUGCUAACAUUCUAUUACCACUGCACAUGUAUGCACAAAAUAACAGAGUGAAAUUUUAGAUCAACACAUUAAAAAUUUGUGGAAAAAUUAUCUCCUCCAAUGCACAAGUGUGUUAUCAUUGAGGCAGGGUUAAUGAGGAUCCUUGCCUUGUUCCAUACAGUCUUUGAAGGGCUUCAGCCUUGCCUCAUAGCACUGUCUGGCAAAUAAUUCCACAUUUUGGAAAUUAACUUUAUCAUUUCAUUUUUUAAAAACCCUAUGAAAUUCCAAGAAAGAAACUGUAUUAAAAGAAAUUGAAGACCAUGAUCCUGAUUAAUGUUCUGCAUGCAAAGUUAAAUCUGAGUACUCCUGUGCAUAAAGUUAAGCACCUGCACAAAUGUUUGCGGUAUCAGGACUUAAGGUGUGAGAUGAAGUACUCAAAAAGUUAACUAACUUUGCCCCACAUUCAUAAGACUUAUGAUAGUCUUACACAAUCACAUGCUAUUAUUUCUAAACCUGGUUGGAAAUUUUCCAUUGGAAUAUUUGUUGUUGGAAAAUACCAAUUUGUGAAAAGCAAAAUGUUCUGCAGGUUUCAAAGGAAAUUGGCCAGGGCCUUCCAGGCUCAACUAAUCUUUCAAAGGAAAUUAGCCACGGCUUUGUGGGCUCCAGCUCAUCAUCAGUCUGCCUAGUGGCUGCUGAGGCUCCAAGAGUUUCCAGAUGUCUGGCUUCUCAGCAGCCUGAAAACUUCAAGGCCAAGUUCCAAAGCUCCCAGAUUCUUGACAGGUUUCCUGGGAUGGGGGCAGUCAUGGAGUAGUGGAGGCCAGCGCUUUCAGGCUCCACACUCCUUGACAGCCCCAGAAGCAUAUUUCAUUUCAGAAACAAAGUAUUCCAGAAUUUGACUUCCACAAGAAAUUGAGGUUUUGAUUUUCCCAAUUUGAGCUGAAUUUUUUUCCCCAAAGCUCAAGUUCUUUUGUUUUUAAAGAGGUGAAAUUCACUUUCUUGUUCAGUUAUAUUUAUUUCUACAGGUCCCCUGCUGCAUUUGAUGUGCAAGCUGAAUGGCGAACAGUGAAUGAGGCAAGGUUAAACAGUCAAUGAGAGGUGCUGAGAGCCAAAUUGUUUGCAACUACCAUUCACUUUACACUUGUUUAACUGAGGCAUUUUCUAGACUAGAAUUGAAGAUGUGAUGUUAGCCUGUGUUAGCAUAUAUAACACACUUUAAAAGUCUAUUACAGAUAAGGCACACUGCCUUUAACACGUGCUAAACUGGUCAAGUUAAACCUGGGGGGAGUCCAGGCUUCAAUUCGACCAGCUGAGCAUGUGUUAAAGGCAGUUUGCCUUGUCUGCACUAGACUGAUGUGUUAGCAUACGUUAGCUAAUGUGUGCUAAUCUAUUUUAAUUCCUAAUCUAGAUAAAGCGUGAGAGCACAUCUGGGACCUCAGUGGACAGGGUAGACUUUAUAGAGUGAAUGAAGCACGAUUAAAAAUACAUAUUUAAUCCACUGUGCUUCAUUCAACCUGUGCUCUGAAUUAGUCAUAUUUAUAUUCAUUAACUAACUAAAGAAUGUAUUAUGAUGCAAACACAAAAGUGGCAUAAUUAAGGUUGUCUGGGUAACCUUAACUUUUGGAUUUCCUAACUUUUGGUAUGCUUUACUUUACAAUUUUAUUUUUUUUAAACAUAGGUUAAAAUUUAGAACUUGCAUAUAACUUUUCAGUGCACUUUAGAGGAGGGUAAGAAUUAUCUCCAUUUUACACAUGAGGAAAACUGAGGCAAAUAUAUGAAGUAAUUUGUCCAAGAUUACUCAGCAGGUCAUUGACGGACCUGGGAUUGGAAUCCAGGUCUCCUGACCCCAGGUCACAUGUCCAUAUACCGAUUCUGCAGAAUCCUUUGAAAUUGAAAAUAGCUUUCGAUAUACCAGUAUGUCAUGCUCAGUUUUCUGAAGGAAUACCGCAUUUAAGAUAAACUAAUGCACCCCAUACUAAUUAAAAUGUUCUGUGACACUCCUGUCUUUGCUUCAAACAGCAGUAAAACCCAUUAAGAAUGGCCUUAUUAAAGAACCUCUUUUCAAUAACCAAAGUACCCUUUUCAAGGCAGAGAUAGCAAAGAAAUCAGUUUUAAAGAGAAAUAUUACUUCCUUCUACAUCAGAUUGUUUUUCCUUUGUGAGCUUGAAGAUAUUGGGUAAAAUGCAGUCAUGUUGUAAAUAAAUGCAAUACCCAUAUAAGUCUCUGGCUAACUUCUAUGAUGUAAAUGAUGUAUAUUAAUCAGACAACUGGUGUAAAUGAUAUGGUAGUCUAAUUUGCAAGAGAAGUCCAUCAGGCCUGAUUCUGCCAUCCUUAGUCAUAAUAGGUAACAAUUCAUACUCACAUAGGCCCAUUAAUUGCAAUGAGACUGCUUACAUAGUAAGGUACUACCUGACAUGAAUAAGGUUGGCAAAUUAAAGCUCUCAGCAGAGAUUAAAAUGAGUAAUUUACACACCAAGGGCACAAACAAGGGAAUACAGUAGUAAAACCAGCUACUAGGAUGGUGUAACAGCAUAGGGGAGAUGCUGCUCUGUUCCCUGAUGCAAUUUUCCUGCUGCCCCUUCUCAGUGUUACACUCGUUUAGUAUAUUGGUGCAAGCUAUACUACUUUAUCAUUUGCACCCACUUAUAAUGUGUUUUGAUCAAUUUACUCAUGACAUUUAAUUUACACCACAGUGUAGACUGCAGAAUUUGGCCAAUUCACUGCAGCAUGUUUUAUUUGUAAGUUCAGUUCAAUUCUAUAUUUAUAUUUGCAAUUUAAAUUACACUGAUUGUACUGUCUGUACUUCUUGAUUAUUUGUAUUUUCUGUAUAUAUUCUUCUAUUAUAGUCUAUUUGUUUUACAUAAAAUUAUAUUUGCUUUCUGUGGA